RNAcentral lists this ribosomal RNA (501 nucleotides) under uncultured bacterium. RNAcentral's name for it is "partial 16S ribosomal RNA". It matches the Rfam family "Bacterial small subunit ribosomal RNA", at positions 29 to 523 of the family's 1533-position model. The record is from RNAcentral.
AUUGAACGCUGGCGGCAUGCCUUACACAUGCAAGUCGAACGGCAGCACGGGUGCUUGCACCUGGUGGCGAGUGGCGAACGGGUGAGUAAUACAUCGGAACGUACCUUAUCGGGGGGGAUAACGCAGCGAAAGCUGUGCUAAUACCGCAUACGCCCUGACGGGGAAAGCGGGGGAUCGAAAGACCUCGCGCGAUUAGAGCGGCCGAUGCCUGAUUAGCUUGUUGGUGGGGUAAAAGCCCACAAAGGCGACGAUCAGUAGCUGGUCUGAGAGGACGAUCAACCACACUGGGACUGAGACACGGCCCAGACUCCUACGGGAGGCAGCAGUGGGGAGUUUUGGACAAUGGGGGCAACCCUGAUCCAGCAAUGCCGCGUGAGUGAAGAAGGCCUUCGGGUUGUAAAGCUCUUUUGUCAGGGAAGAAACACCGGCUCUAACACAGUCCGGGAAUGACGGUACCUGAAGAAUAAGCACCGGCUAACUACGUGCCAGCCGCCGCCGUAA